RNAcentral lists this unclassified non-coding RNA (329 nucleotides) under soil metagenome. RNAcentral describes it as "partial contains 5.8S ribosomal RNA, internal transcribed spacer 2, and large subunit ribosomal RNA". The stretch from base 1 to 120 matches the Rfam family "5.8S ribosomal RNA", at positions 35 to 154 of the family's 154-position model. The record is from RNAcentral.
GAUGAAGAACGUAGCGAAAUGCGAUAAGUAGUGUGAAUUGCAGAAUUCAGUGAAUCAUCGAAUCUUUGAACGCACAUUGCGCCCUCUGGUAUUCCGGGGGGCAUGCCUGUUCGAGCGUCAUUAUAACCACUCAAGCUCUCGCUUGGUAUUGGGGCUCGCGGUUCCGCGGCCCCUAAAAUCAGUGGCGGUGCCUGUCGGCUCUACGCGUAGUAAUACUCCUCGCGAUUGAGUCCGGUAGGUCUACUUGCCAGCAACCCCCAAUUUUUACAGGUUGACCUCGGAUCAGGUAGGGAUACCCGCUGAACUUAAGCAUAUCAAUAAGCGGAGGA